UGAGCAACCUACCCUUGACUCCGGGAUAACAGUUGGAAACAGCUGCUAAUACCGGAUACGACCUCGACCGACAUCAGUUGAGGUGGAAAGUUCUGGCGGUCAAGGAUGGGCUCGCGGCCUAUCAGCUAGUUGGUGAGGUAACGGCUCACCAAGGCAACGACGGGUANCUGGUCUGAGAGGAUGGCCAGCCACACUGGGACUGAGACACGGCCCAGACCUCCGUAGGGAGG
Molecule: ribosomal RNA, 230 nt
Filed under: uncultured bacterium
Lineage: Bacteria
Description: partial 16S ribosomal RNA
Rfam family: Bacterial small subunit ribosomal RNA
Source: RNAcentral